Molecule: ribosomal RNA, 245 nt
Filed under: uncultured bacterium
Lineage: Bacteria
Description: partial 16S ribosomal RNA
Rfam family: Bacterial small subunit ribosomal RNA
Source: RNAcentral
UACAGAGGUGUCGAGCGUUGUCCGGAAUUACUGGGCGUAAAGGGCGCGUAGGUGGGCGAGUAAGUCGGUUGUGAAAUCACCGGGCUCAACCCGGUAAUUGCAAUCGAAACUACUUGUCUUGAGUGCAGAAGAGGAGAGUGGAAUUCCCAGUGUAGCGGUGAAAUGCGUAGAUAUUGGGAGGAACACCAGUGGCGAAGGCGGCUCUCUGGUCUGUAACUGACACUGAAGCGCGAAAGCUAGGGGAG